This 733-nucleotide ribosomal RNA is filed under the name uncultured Pseudomonadota bacterium. Its description in RNAcentral is "bacterial SSU rRNA". It matches the Rfam family "Bacterial small subunit ribosomal RNA", at positions 28 to 751 of the family's 1533-position model. The record is from RNAcentral. Lineage: Bacteria; Pseudomonadati; Pseudomonadota.
AUUGAACGCUGGCGGCAGGCCUAACACAUGCAAGUCGAACGGUAACAGGAAGAAGCUUGCUUCUUUGCUGACGAGUGGCGGACGGGUGAGUAAUGUCUGGGAAACUGCCUGAUGGAGGGGGAUAACUACUGGAAACGGUAGCUAAUACCGCAUAACGUCGCAAGACCAAAGAGGGGGACCUUCGGGCCUCUUGCCAUCGGAUGUGCCCAGAUGGGAUUAGCUAGUAGGUGGGGUAACGGCUCACCUAGGCGACGAUCCCUAGCUGGUCUGAGAGGAUGACCAGCCACACUGGAACUGAGACACGGUCCAGACUCCUACGGGAGGCAGCAGUGGGGAAUAUUGCACAAUGGGCGCAAGCCUGAUGCAGCCAUGCCGCGUGUAUGAAGAAGGCCUUCGGGUUGUAAAGUACUUUCAGCGGGGAGGAAGGGAGUAAAGUUAAUACCUUUGCUCAUUGACGUUACCCGCAGAAGAAGCACCGGCUAACUCCGUGCCAGCAGCCGCGGUAAUACGGAGGGUGCAAGCGUUAAUCGGAAUUACUGGGCGUAAAGCGCACGCAGGCGGUUUGUUAAGUCAGAUGUGAAAUCCCCGGGCUCAACCUGGGAACUGCAUCUGAUACUGGCAAGCUUGAGUCUCGUAGAGGGGGGUAGAAUUCCAGGUGUAGCGGUGAAAUGCGUAGAGAUCUGGAGGAAUACCGGUGGCGAAGGCGGCCCCUGGACGAAGACUGACGCUCAGG